RNAcentral lists this ribosomal RNA (910 nucleotides) under uncultured bacterium. RNAcentral's name for it is "bacterial SSU rRNA". It matches the Rfam family "Bacterial small subunit ribosomal RNA", at positions 33 to 974 of the family's 1533-position model. The record is from RNAcentral.
ACGCUGACGAUGCUUAACACAUGCAAGUCUACUUGAACUUCGGUUUGGGUGGCGGACGGGUGAGUAACGCGUAAAGAACUUGCCUCACAGUUAGGGACAACAUUUGGAAACGAAUGCUAAUACCUGAUAUUAUGAUUUUAGGGUAUCCUAAGAUUAUGAAAGCUAUAUGCGCUGUGAGAGAGCUUUGCGUCCCAUUAGCUAGUUGGAGAGGUAACGGCUCACCAAGGCGAUGAUGGGUAGCCGGCCUGAGAGGGUGAACGGCCACAAGGGGACUGAGACACGGCCCUUACUCCUACGGGAGGCAGCAGUGGGGAAUAUUGGACAAUGGACCAAAAGUCUGAUCCAGCAAUUCUGUGUGCACGAUGACGUUUUUCGGAAUGUAAAGUGCUUUCAGUUGGGAAGAAAAAAAUGACGGUACCAACAGAAGAAGUGACGGCUAAAUACGUGCCAACAGCCGCGGUAAUACGUAUGUCACAAGCGUUAUCCGGAUUUAUUGGGCGUAAAGCGCGUCUAGGUGGUUAUGUAAGUCUGAUGUGAAAAUGCAGGGCUCAACUCUGUAUUGCGUUGGAAACUGCAUGACUAGAGUACUGGAGAGGUAAGCGGAACUACAAGUGUAGAGGUGAAAUUCGUAGAUAUUUGUAGAAAUGCCGAUGGGGAAGCCAGCUUACUGGACAGAUACUGACGCUAAAGCGCGAAAGCGUGGGUAGCAAACAGGAUUAGAUACCCUGGUAGUCCACGCCGUAAACGAUGAUUACUAGGUGUUGGGGGUCGAACCUCAGCGCCCAAGCUAACGCGAUAAGUAAUCCGCCUGGGGAGUACGUACGCAAGUAUGAAACUCAAAGGAAUUGACGGGGACCCGCACAAGCGGUGGAGCAUGUGGUUUAAUUCGACGCAACGCGAGGAACCUUAC